GUAGGAAAACAAAGUUGCACUGAUUUGACAAGGACGGGGGCAGUGGAAGGAGCGUGGCAUGGGUACAGUCAGGCUUCUCAAACGGACAACCAAGGUCCGCCUUGUCAUGCGACAUGCCAAGAGCCUCAGGAUCUGCGGCAAGCACCUUGGCUGGCAGUCACCUGCAGGCUAAUGUGACGAGGUGAUGAGAUACACGAGGGGUGGGAGAAGGACUGCAGGAGGACAUGCCCUGUUUUAGAUCCACCCGAUCAUUCCAAGUUUUUGCAAGGAGUUUGGAUUACCCUGAAGACUUCUUUUAGGAUCUUGAAUUACUCUGAGCAAUUCGCACAAGAGUUGAGAGUAUAGUCUGAACACUAGCCAUAGUGUGCCACGACGACCACUUGCAUACAGGAGCCUCGCGGCGCGGUCAUCUUUCCUUUCUCCUCCUCCAGCCCCCUUCCUUUAGCUCUCAUUGUAGCUUUUAUGUGCAAGAGAUUUGAUCAUGGGCAUAAGCAAACAGUUUCACAUUUCAUUGGUGCACGCGCAUGAAAAAUGAACUUGGAAGGAUUUCUUUUCUAAGGUGAUUUUUUUUCA
Triticum dicoccoides is the source of this 573-nucleotide long non-coding RNA. RefSeq lists it as uncharacterized. Lineage: Eukaryota; Viridiplantae; Streptophyta; Magnoliopsida; Poales; Poaceae. The record is from RefSeq and is a predicted model, not a curated record. The transcript has 3 exons.